GCUUGGCAAGGUGGCACAUGCCUGUAAUCCCAGGGGCUUGGGAGGCUGAGGCAGGAGGAUCAUGAGUUCAAAGUGAGCCUCAGCAAUUUAUUGAGGCCCUAAGCAACUCAAUGAGACCCUGUCUCUA
RNAcentral lists this small RNA (127 nucleotides) under Marmota monax (woodchuck). The record is from RNAcentral. Lineage: Eukaryota; Metazoa; Chordata; Mammalia; Rodentia; Sciuridae.